AGUAACGGCGAGUGAAGCGGGAAAAGCUCAAAUUUAAAAUCUGGCGGUCUCCGGCCGUCCGAGUUGUAAUCUGGAGAAGCGUUUUCCGCGUUGGACCGUGUACAAGUCUUCUGGAAUGGAGCUUCAUAGAGGGUGAGAAUCCCUUCUUUGACACGUACUACCAAUGCUUUGUGAUACGCUCUCGAAGAGUCGAGUUGUUUGGGA
Molecule: ribosomal RNA, 204 nt
Filed under: Leptosporomyces sp.
Lineage: Eukaryota; Fungi; Basidiomycota; Agaricomycetes; Atheliales; Atheliaceae
Description: partial large subunit ribosomal RNA
Rfam family: Eukaryotic large subunit ribosomal RNA
Source: RNAcentral